RNAcentral lists this ribosomal RNA (372 nucleotides) under uncultured organism. RNAcentral describes it as "partial 16S ribosomal RNA". It matches the Rfam family "Bacterial small subunit ribosomal RNA", at positions 527 to 895 of the family's 1533-position model. The record is from RNAcentral.
GGAAGGUGCAAGCGUUAAUCGGAAUUACUGGGCGUAAAGCGCGCGUAGGCGGCUAGAUAAGUCGGGUGUGAAAGCCCUGGGCUCAACCUGGGAACUGCAUUCGAUACUGUCUAGCUAGAGUGUGGUAGAGGGAGGCGGAAUUCCGCAUGUAGCGGUGAAAUGCGUAGAGAUGCGGAGGAACACCAAUGGCGAAGGCAGCCUUCUGGACCAACACUGACGCUGAGGCGCGAAAGCGUGGGGGGAGCAAACAGGAUUAGAUACCCUGGUAGUCCACGCCCGUAAACGAUGUCAACUAGCCGUUGGGAGCAUUUUGGCUCUUGGUGGCGCAGCUAACGCGAUAAGUUGACCGCCUGGGGAUACGGUCGCAAGAUU